AAGUUCAAUUGAAGUAUCUUAUCUGGUUCUAUCUACUCAGUAGCCACAUGAGAUGAGGUACGACAAUAUUAAUUUUUUUGAUUUUGAAGCCUAUUUUAUACUUUCUCAUUUCAAAUAGACUUGCAUUUAGAACAUUUUAUUUUAACAGUGUGUUGUUUAUUUUUAUAGGAAAAAACGAGAAUAUAUGCAGAUUAAGAAAGUUCAUUGUGGGAGGAUUUAAAUUGAAUUCUAGGCACUCUACAUUUUUCAAGUUCUAUACAUAAGUAAGUGUCUUCACUCUUUAACUAUGAUUUAAUUUUUUGUUACUUUGUUCGACCUUUUUAGUAAGAUUUUUUAUGAGUGUUUGCUCUUUGGGACAAACCACAUUGAGUUUUGCUUUGUUGCCAAGUAGUGUACGUUAUAAGGUAAGAUCAAUGUCCAUGCCAAGAAUAAAAUAGAAAGUCUUAAUAUGUGGAUUUUAUUGGGAUUAGUUAUUGUGUCCUCCAAACUCAGAUCUGUUUUGGAUUGAUUGGCUGAGUUUUAAUAUGCACCGUUGUUUACAUUUUCGUUUGUUAACUUAACAUGUUUCAAAUUAAGAAGGAAAAAAAAUAUGUAUGAGUUGAAUGAAUGUUUUCUUCUUUUGUUGUGACUAAUGUUUUUUUACACAAUUAUAGAUGGCAUGAGCAAGAAAAGUUUAUCAUGAAGAGGUUGAACUUCUUGGGAGAUGACCAAGUUUUUAUGUGGUGGCUUCUGUGAUAUCUCAAUAGGAUAUAUCUUCUCUUUAAAUUCAUAUAUCAUGUUGUAUAAUUAAGGGGGAAAUUACAAUGACCUCGCCUAAAUUCUAUUGUAAUGACACAAACACCCCCUCUAAGUUUUUAAUAGACACAAACCUCCCCUAAAGUCUAUUGAAUAGACAAACACCUCCCCUUUAAACUUACACCGUUUAUUAAUUUGUUAAUUUUAUUAUGAUGAUGAUCUCUCUCCACUGAAACCUUGAAUAUCGUACCAUUGUU
Molecule: long non-coding RNA, 992 nt
Filed under: Trifolium pratense (red clover)
Lineage: Eukaryota; Viridiplantae; Streptophyta; Magnoliopsida; Fabales; Fabaceae
Description: long non-coding RNA (TPRA_LNC012013)
Source: RNAcentral